This 429-nucleotide ribosomal RNA is filed under the name Gemmatimonadota bacterium. RNAcentral's name for it is "Gemmatimonadetes bacterium partial 16S ribosomal RNA". It matches the Rfam family "Bacterial small subunit ribosomal RNA", at positions 355 to 776 of the family's 1533-position model. Lineage: Bacteria; Pseudomonadati; Gemmatimonadota. The record is from RNAcentral.
UAGGGAAUCUUCGGCAAUGGACGAAAGUCUGACCGAGCAACGCCGCGUGAGUGAAGAAGGUUUUCGGAUCGUAAAACUCUGUUGUUAGAGAAGAACAAGGACGUUAGUAACUGAACGUCCCCUGACGGUAUCUAACCAGCAAGCCACGGCUAACUACGUGCCAGCAGCCGCGGUAAUACGUAGGUGGCAGGCGUUGUCCGGAGUUAUUGGGCGUAAAGCGAGCGCAGGCGGUUUCUUAAGUCUGGUGUGAAAGCCCCCGGCUCAACCGGGGAGGGGCAUUGGAAACUGAGAGACUUGAGUGCAGAAGAGGAGAGUGGAAUUCCGUGUGUAGCGGUGAAAUGCGUAGAUAUAUGGAAGAACACCAGUGGCGAAGGCGGCUCUCUGGUCUGUAACUGACGCUGAGGCUCGAAAGCGUGGGGAGCAAACAGG